Molecule: ribosomal RNA, 253 nt
Filed under: uncultured bacterium
Lineage: Bacteria
Description: partial 16S ribosomal RNA
Rfam family: Bacterial small subunit ribosomal RNA
Source: RNAcentral
UACGUAAGUGGCGAGCGUUAUCCGGAAUUACUGGGCGUAAAGCGUGCGUAGGCGGUUUAGUGUGUGGGAAUUGAAAGCCCGGGGCUCAACUCCGGAUCCGGUUCCCAAACUGCUAGACUCGAGAGUAUCAGAGGAGAGCGGAAUUCCCGGUGUAGCGGUAAUAUGCGUAGAUAUCAGGAGGAACACCAGUGGCGAAGGCGGCUUUCUGGACGGUAACUGACGCUGAGACGCGAAAGCGUGGGGAGCAAACAGG